This 465-nucleotide ribosomal RNA is filed under the name uncultured bacterium. RNAcentral's name for it is "partial 16S ribosomal RNA". It matches the Rfam family "Bacterial small subunit ribosomal RNA", at positions 338 to 795 of the family's 1533-position model. The record is from RNAcentral.
CCUACGGGGCGCAGCAGUGGGGAAUAUUGCGCAAUGGGCGAAAGCCUGACGCAGCGACGCCGCGUGAGGGAUGAAGGUCUUCGGAUCGUAAACCUCUGUCAGCAGGGAAGAACGGUCACUGUGCUAAUCAGCAGUGAAUUGACGGUACCUGCAAAGGAAGCACCGGCUAACUCCGUGCCAGCAGCCGCGGUAAUACGGAGGGUGCGAGCGUUAAUCGGAAUUACUGGGCGUAAAGCGCUCGUAGGCGGUAUGUCAAGUCAAGGGUGAAAUCCCCGCGCUCAACGUGGGAACUGCCUUUGAAACUGGCAAACUGGAGUGUGUGAGAGGAUGGUGGAAUGUCAGGUGUAGGAGUGAAAUGCGUAGAGAUCUGGAGGAACAUCAGUGGCGAAGGCGACUAUCUGGCACAUAACUGACGCUGAGGAGCGAAAGCGUGGGUAGCAAACAGGAUUAGAUACCCCGGUAGUC